This 497-nucleotide ribosomal RNA is filed under the name uncultured bacterium. RNAcentral describes it as "partial 16S ribosomal RNA". It matches the Rfam family "Bacterial small subunit ribosomal RNA", at positions 28 to 507 of the family's 1533-position model. The record is from RNAcentral.
GACGAACGCUGGCGGCGUGCCUAAUACAUGCAAGUAGAACGCUGAAGAGAGGAGCUUGCUCUUCUUGGAUGAGUUGCGAACGGGUGAGUAACGCGUAGGUAACCUGCCUUGUAGCGGGGGAUAACUAUUGGAAACGAUAGCUAAUACCGCAUAACAAUGGAUGACACAUGUCAUUUAUUUGAAAGGGGCAAUUGCUCCACUACAAGAUGGACCUGCGUUGUAUUAGCUAGUAGGUGAGGUAACGGCUCACCUAGGCGACGAUACAUAGCCGACCUGAGAGGGUGAUCGGCCACACUGGGAAUGAGACACGGCCCAGACUCCUACGGGAGGCAGCAGUAGGGAAUCUUCGGCAAUGGGGGCAACCCUGACCGAGAAACGCCGCGUGAGUGAAGAAGGUUGUCGGAUCGUAAAGCUCUGUUGUAAGUCAAGAACGAGUGUGAGAGUGGAAAGUUCACACUGUGACGGUAGCUUACCAGAAAGGGACGGCUAACUACGUG